This 935-nucleotide long non-coding RNA is filed under the name Homo sapiens (human). RNAcentral describes it as "HSALNT0348741". Lineage: Eukaryota; Metazoa; Chordata; Mammalia; Primates; Hominidae. The record is from RNAcentral.
GCAACAGCCAGCGCGGCUCCUGGAGGGAAACGAGCAAGGCGGCCCCGCAGGUGUGGCGCGGCCCUGGGAGGGCGCGUGCGAGCGCUGCUUUGUUUGGUGCCCGCACAGCCCCGGGCUCCAGGCCUGAGCGCCAACCUUCCCGAGCUGAGUCACGGCUGCAGAGCCCGAGGGCGGCCAUACGGCCCCGCCCGGAAGGAUGAGGCCCCUUCCUGAAGCUGGCGAGUCCGAUGCGGUGGCAGGGACAAAAGCCAGGGGAAGGUGGCUUCUAUUCUACAAAGCCCUUUAGGGAAGGGGGGAGUCAGGCCGCCCUCACCCAGUGCAGGUCCGUCACGAUGGUCACCCAGAGCACUCACGCAGAAAGCCAGCUUGCAGCCGCCAGCCCUGAGGAUGCCGCCCCCAAAGGGCUCAUUGCUCUAAUCACCCGUCCAGGGGCUUGAGGCAAAGCUCCAAGACAGACCUGUAGCAGCAUGGCCCAAAAAGUUCCUCUGCUGCCCCAGUCCCAUACCUGCCUGAGGUACGGGGGUUCAGGCUGAGUCGGCUGACCUGGAGUCAUCUGGAAGCCUUGUCAGAAAUGCAGAUUCUGCAGUGCUGUUCCCAGAGGAUGAGAUUCAGCAGAACUGGGUGUUGGAUAUUAUAUGAAGAGAUUUGCAAGUGUUAUUUUACGUAAUUCGCACUUUACAAAGGAGGAAACUGCAGCGCAGGUACCAAGGUUGCCCCAUCUCGGUCCAGGCCUGCUCCCGGCGAGCCACUCGCCCUUGACCACGCCUCCUCUCUCCUGAUUGGCUGUCAGGCAUGAGUCAUUAAGCUCACUAAGACAAUAAUCAAAGACCUAUAAAACCGUGAACUUCUUGAGACAAUGAGGAUGCCUCUAACAGACUUGGGAAGAAAUCCUGCACAAAGAGCUGGGGAAAAAAGGGAAGAAAAGCACAUAGAAU